Molecule: ribosomal RNA, 451 nt
Filed under: uncultured bacterium
Lineage: Bacteria
Description: partial 16S ribosomal RNA
Rfam family: Bacterial small subunit ribosomal RNA
Source: RNAcentral
AACGAACGCUGGCGGCAUGCCUAACACAUGCAAGUCGAACGAUUGCCUUCGGGUGAUAGUGGCGCACGGGUGCGUAACGCGUGGGAAUCUGCCCUUGGGUUCGGAAUAACAGCUGGAAACGGCUGCUAAUACCGGAUGAUAUCGCGAGAUCAAAGAUUUAUCGCCUGAGGAUGAGCCCGCGUUGGAUUAGGUAGUUGGUGGGGUAAAGGCCUACCAAGCCGACGAUCCAUAGCUGGUCUGAGAGGAUGAUCAGCCACACUGGGACUGAGACACGGCCCAGACUCCUACGGGAGGCAGCAGUGGGGAAUAUUGGACGAUGGGCGCAAGCCUGAUCCAGCAAUGCCGCGUGAGUGAUGAAGGCCCUAGGGUUGUAAAGCUCUUUUACCCGGGAAGAUAAUGACUGUACUGGGAGAAUAAGCCCCGGCUAACUCCGUGCCAGCCGCCGCCGUAA